Molecule: transfer RNA, 73 nt
Organism: Lichtheimia corymbifera
Lineage: Eukaryota; Fungi; Mucoromycota; Mucoromycetes; Mucorales; Lichtheimiaceae
Rfam family: tRNA
About the family: Transfer RNA (tRNA) molecules are approximately 80 nucleotides in length. Their secondary structure includes four short double-helical elements and three loops (D, anti-codon, and T loops).
Source: Rfam
GCCUAGCUAGCUCAAUUGGCAGAGCGUGAGACUCUUAAUCUCAAGGUUGGGGGUUCGAGCCCCCCGUUGGGCU